GUGCAAUAGCGAUUGCAGCGGCAUCCUUUUUUGCUAUUAAAGGCAAAAAAGAUAUAGCGGAAAGCGCGGUGCUUU
Molecule: small RNA, 75 nt
Filed under: Siansivirga zeaxanthinifaciens CC-SAMT-1
Lineage: Bacteria; Pseudomonadati; Bacteroidota; Flavobacteriia; Flavobacteriales; Flavobacteriaceae
Description: Flavo-1 RNA
Rfam family: Flavo-1 RNA
Source: Rfam by way of RNAcentral